This 107-nucleotide ribosomal RNA is filed under the name Pleurotus giganteus. RNAcentral's name for it is "5.8S ribosomal RNA". The stretch from base 39 to 107 matches the Rfam family "5.8S ribosomal RNA", at positions 1 to 69 of the family's 154-position model. Rfam says of the family: 5.8S ribosomal RNA (5.8S rRNA) is a component of the large subunit of the eukaryotic ribosome. Lineage: Eukaryota; Fungi; Basidiomycota; Agaricomycetes; Agaricales; Pleurotaceae. The record is from RNAcentral.
UGUUAUUGAUUGGGCCAUGUGCCUAUAAAUCUUAAUACAACUUUCAACAACGGAUCUCUUGGCUCUCGCAUCGAUGAAGAACGCAGCGAAAUGCGAUAAGUAAUGUG